CGGUGGGCGGCCAGAUGAUAAAGAUGUGUGGGGAACUCUAAAGAGGAGCAGUUCUGUGGAGGAGUGGUAGUGGAAAAUGCAAAUAGCCAUUCUCAAUUCCUGAUUUAUUUCUCAUGUGCCAGAUACACCUAUGGGAAACCUGUCCCAGGACUUGCAACUGUGAGCCUGUGUAGAAAAUUAUUUCAUGUUCCUAACUGUGAUAAGCACGAGGUCUGUGAGGAAUUCAGUCAACAGACCUGGUAGUCACUGCAAACGGGAUCAGUGAAAUCACAAACAUUGCAUCCAAACUCAUAUUUGUGAAAGUGGAUUCACACUUUAGACAAGGAAUCCCCUUUUUUGGACAGGUGCUUCUGGUGGAUGGGAAAGGUGUGCCCAUCCCCAAUAAACUCAUCUUCAUCUCUGCGAGCGAAGCCAAUUAUUUCUCCAAUGCGACCACCAAUGAACAGGGUCUUGCACAGUUUUCAAUCAAUACUACCCAUAUCUUGGCUAAUAAACUUUUUGUCCAGGUUUACACUGUGCAUCCUAACUUGUGUUUUCACUAUUCAUGGGUAACAGAAGACCACCAGGGCGCUCAGCACACUGCAAAUCAUGUUUUCUCCUUAAGUGGGAGUUACAUUCACCUGGAGCCUGUGGCUGGUACCCUGCCCUGUGGCCACACACAGCGUAUCAGGGCACACUAUAUACUGAAUAUUCAGGCUGUGGGAGAGCUAUCGGAGCUCAGUUUCCAUUACCUGGUAAGAAUGAGGCCAUGGAAUACAAUUGCAGCUUAUCAGUAGGACAAAAGUGGUCAAUAG
This 794-nucleotide long non-coding RNA is filed under the name Rhinopithecus bieti (black snub-nosed monkey). RNAcentral describes it as "lncRNA (ENSRBIG00000046678.1)". Lineage: Eukaryota; Metazoa; Chordata; Mammalia; Primates; Cercopithecidae. The record is from RNAcentral.